RNAcentral lists this ribosomal RNA (253 nucleotides) under uncultured bacterium. Its description in RNAcentral is "partial 16S ribosomal RNA". It matches the Rfam family "Bacterial small subunit ribosomal RNA", at positions 524 to 776 of the family's 1533-position model. The record is from RNAcentral.
UACGGAGGGAGCUAGCGUUGUUCGGAAUUACUGGGCGUAAAGCGUACGUAGGCGGAUUGUUAAGUGAGGGGUGAAAUCCCGAGGCUCAACCUCGGAACUGCCUUUCAUACUGGCAAUCUUGAGUCCGGGAGAGGUGAGUGGAACUCCUAGUGUAGAGGUGAAAUUCGUAGAUAUUAGGAAGAACACCAGUGGCGAAGGCGGCUCACUGGCCCGGAACUGACGCUGAGGUGCGAAAGCGUGGGGAGCAAACAGG